UGGGGAAUAUUGGACAAUGGGCGAAAGCCUGAUCCAGCCAUGCCGCGUGUGUGAAGAAGGCCUUUUGGUUGUAAAGCACUUUAAGUGGGGAGGAAAAGCUUAUGGUUAAUACCCAUAAGCCCUGACGUUACCCACGGAAUAAGCACCGGCUAACUCUGUGCCAGCAGCCGCGGUAAUACAGAGGGUGCAAGCGUUAAUCGGAAUUACUGGGCGUAAAGCGCGCGUAGGUGGUUAUUUAAGUCAGAUGUGAAAGCCCCGGGCUUAACCUGGGAACUGCAUCUGAUACUGGAUAACUAGAGUAGGUGAGAGGGGAGUAGAAUUCCAGGUGUAGCGGUGAAAUGCGUAGAGAUCUGGAGGAAUACCGAUGGCGAAGGCAGCUCCCUGGCAUCAUACUAACACUGAGGUGCGAAAGCGUGGGUAGCAAACAGGAUUAGAUACCCUGGUAGUCCACGCCGUAAACGAUGUCUACCAGUCGUUGGGUCUUUUAAAGACUUAGUGACGCAGUUAACGCAAUAAGUAGACCGCCUGGGGAGUACGGCCGCAAGGUUA
This 549-nucleotide ribosomal RNA is filed under the name uncultured bacterium. Its description in RNAcentral is "bacterial SSU rRNA". It matches the Rfam family "Bacterial small subunit ribosomal RNA", at positions 355 to 896 of the family's 1533-position model. The record is from RNAcentral.